RNAcentral lists this ribosomal RNA (446 nucleotides) under uncultured bacterium. Its description in RNAcentral is "partial 16S ribosomal RNA". It matches the Rfam family "Bacterial small subunit ribosomal RNA", at positions 354 to 796 of the family's 1533-position model. The record is from RNAcentral.
GUAGGGAAUAUUGGACAAUGGGGGGAACCCUGAUCCAGCCAUGCCGCGUGGAGGAAGACUGCCCUCUGGGUUGUAAACUCCUUUUAUAUGGGAAGAACCGUCCUCAUUAAUGAGUGACCUGACGGUACCAUAGGAAUAAGCACCGGCUAACUCCGUGCCAGCAGCCGCGGUAAUACGGAGGGUGCAAGCGUUAUCCGGAUUCACUGGGUUUAAAGGGUGCGUAGGCGGAUAGAUAAGUCAGUGGUGAAAUCAACGGGCUCAACCUGUUAACUGCCAUUGAUACUGUGUAUCUUGAAUAUGAGAGAGGUAGGCGGAAUGUUGCAUGUAGCGGUGAAAUGCUUAGAUAUGCUACGGAACACCGAUUGCGAAGGCAGCUUACUAUUUCGUAAUUGACGCUGAGGCACGAAAGCGUGGGUAGCGAACAGGAUUAGAUACCCCGGUAGUCC